AAAUUUAAUUCAAAGGCCGGAUUCCGAAUCCAAGGCCUUAAGCCAGGGUGCCUGGGUGGGCUCACGCACACCCCCGAAAUAUUCCGUUGCCCCUUUCAGUGGCAAGAUAUGUGUUCGGUGGAGUGGGCUUUGCGGGACUUUGCAGUUGCUCCUGCCAGUGGGAGCUCUGGGGUCUUUUCAGGCCGGUGCUCUUGAACAGACAGGCUCUGUUCUGCCGUCAUCCUUUUACUGGUUGAUUGAGACCCUUUCUGAUGGUAAAUUCAUCGCAACUCAACAUGGGUUUUCUUCUUACGAGUCAACUAGGCUUUUUGACGCACAGGAAGUUGACCCAGGCUUCCCUCAUGCUCGUCUCUUGCAUGUUUGCGGCUUUGCAGUGGGGUCUGGACCUCUGGACUGUGAGCAGGAUGGUGCAUGCCUGGUCAGACCCGGUGGGGUAGGGGUGAGCGUGCAGCCCCCUCCAUCACUCUGUCACUUGUCAUCUGUGCUUUGGCCCCAUUGGUCUGCUUUUACAUUCCCGGCUCGUUCAACAGUGAUAAUCACCAGGGCAACCAUCAAACACACCCUUUCUCUGGAGAGAAGAUUCAUGGGAUACUUGGGUGCUCUGGGGAACUGUGGGAUGCUCCCGUUUGGGUAAAUGAUCAAAAAUCACCACCAAAAGACGUCGACUGCGUGCAGGCUAGCACUCUUCCUGCUAUCUCCUCUCUGUGACCCAUUUAGAUGGUUCUCUGGAAGAAAGGAAUGGCAAAGGACUUGGGACUGUUUUCCCUCCACGACCCUCAGAACCUCCAUCCUGCUGAGCUGCAGCAGGCCUCGGCCCCCCGACUGUCAUUUCCGGAGGAGGCAGUGUCAAUGUCCUGAGCAUGGGGAGAGAUGCUGGUUCGGAACCUUCAGAAUUGCCGACGCAGCUGUUGGAGGGGUGGAUGGGACGCUCGCUCUGAUGCUUGCUCUCUUGCAGGCCCACUUCGUGUCACGUGCAUUGGACAGCUAAUGGCCCUCUAGCUCUCUAAGACCCUACAAAAGUGCACCAAAAUUCUACUGAGUCAAGGAAAUGCCAGAUCAAAGGGACCGAGCUGCAGGGCAGACUUUUCCUCCCACCGGACUUGCAGCCAGAUGCGGGGGACACCGGGCAGAGUGGCCUCACUCCGUGGCAUGUUCCAGAUGUGGAGCUUGGGGGAGUUUCUUUCAGAUGCUUGUCUGAGGUUCGGGUGAGACCCCUCCCUGCACCAAGGGACUCAGCCCUGGCAACCGAAAACCUCCAGAACCCAACCGCUGCCCUGCUCACAGCUGUGCUCCACAUGCUCAGACUAAGCCUCACCCAGGAUCGAACUGUUCCCUGGACUGCGGCGUGAUACUUCUUGGGACACACCCGACCCAUAUUCCAAGAGUACAGCACCACAUUUGAUGGGAUUCAAAGUCGGAGGCAAUCAACCUUAGAGGGAAAUAUUAUAUUAUUUCAGUUCUGCUUUGGGGCAAGAAUUGGGGUUCGGGAUGGAAACACCUGAAAUAUGGUGGUGGGGAGGUGUAAUGGUGAUGGGAUUGGUGUUUGAAUAUUAA
Sorex fumeus (smoky shrew) is the source of this 1554-nucleotide long non-coding RNA. RefSeq lists it as uncharacterized. The transcript has 5 exons. Lineage: Eukaryota; Metazoa; Chordata; Mammalia; Eulipotyphla; Soricidae. The record is from RefSeq and is a predicted model, not a curated record.